This 445-nucleotide unclassified non-coding RNA is filed under the name Hevea brasiliensis (rubber tree). Lineage: Eukaryota; Viridiplantae; Streptophyta; Magnoliopsida; Malpighiales; Euphorbiaceae. The record is from RNAcentral.
GUUUAUAAACAAAACUACAAUAAGGCUUUCAAAUAUGCUGAAAUUGCGAAAAGAUAACUGUAACGUCGGUUAGAGAAACGGCCGUUAGUCUGUUACCCUAAUCUAGUAGCCAAAAAAACUGCUGGCUCUAAGAGGAUCAAGCUCAACUCAGAAAGGCGUCAAUGGCUUCUCUUGCUUCCUCCUCCUUCUCUCUCCUCUUCUCUUCUUUAUCCUCCAAGCUUUUAUGAGCUUUUAUCCUCCAAGCCAAAAAAACUGCUGGCUCUCCGCCUUCGCUUUUAUCCUCUCCACCCCUCUCUCUUUCUUCUUCUUUCUCCCAGUCCUCUCUCCUCUCUCUUCUUUUCUCUCAAUCUCUCCAACUUCUUUAACAUACUCCACAUGUUCCAGGCGCCUUUUUGCCUCUAACUUCACUGUCAAGGCCAGCGCCGCAGAGAAGAAGAAGGUCCUU